RNAcentral lists this transfer RNA (69 nucleotides) under Ictidomys tridecemlineatus (thirteen-lined ground squirrel). Its description in RNAcentral is "Spermophilus tridecemlineatus (thirteen-lined ground squirrel) tRNA". It matches the Rfam family "tRNA". From Rfam's summary of the family: Transfer RNA (tRNA) molecules are approximately 80 nucleotides in length. Lineage: Eukaryota; Metazoa; Chordata; Mammalia; Rodentia; Sciuridae. The record is from Rfam by way of RNAcentral.
GGGGCUGUAGCUCAAUGGAAGAGCGCUUGCCUAGCAUGCGUGAGGCACUGGGUUCGAUCCUCAGCACCA